This 253-nucleotide ribosomal RNA is filed under the name uncultured bacterium. RNAcentral describes it as "partial 16S ribosomal RNA". It matches the Rfam family "Bacterial small subunit ribosomal RNA", at positions 524 to 776 of the family's 1533-position model. The record is from RNAcentral.
UACGUAGGGUGCAAGCGUUGUCCGGAAUUAUUGGGCGUAAAGAGCUCGUAGGCGGUCUGUUGCGUCGGCUGUGAAAACCCGGGGCUCAACUCCGGGCCUGCAGCCGAUACGGGCAGACUAGAGUUCGGCAGGGGAGACUGGAAUUCCUGGUGUAGCGGUGAAAUGCGCAGAUAUCAGGAGGAACACCGGUGGCGAAGGCGGGUCUCUGGGCCGAUACUGACGCUGAGGAGCGAAAGCGUGGGGAGCAAACAGG